RNAcentral lists this long non-coding RNA (280 nucleotides) under Capsicum annuum. RNAcentral describes it as "long non-coding RNA (CANN_LNC004693)". Lineage: Eukaryota; Viridiplantae; Streptophyta; Magnoliopsida; Solanales; Solanaceae. The record is from RNAcentral.
AUGCCAGACAAAUGAGAGUCCGAGGAAAAUUGCUGUUCUAAUUUACUGUAACGGUUACUCUCUACAUUGGAUUCUGGGCGAUGGCGACCAUUAUUGAUGAAAAUCUUUAGGAUGAUUGAGUCACAACCAAUAAUUGUACGAGGAACUAUCCUAUUUUUGCCACAUGCAAAAGUGGAUCCCAUUUGCAUACUUUACCUCCCACUCACCACCCACAUCCGGUCAACCCCGCUUCUUUUUCAUUUUCUUAUUUCUUCAAUUCCCAACCCAAUAUUCAACUCAC